GACUAAGAAAACUUCAACUUUCAACAAAAAAUUUAGGAAGUCCUGUCCAUUCCAUUGCAGUGCGCCUGGUCUGAGACAGCGUAGGCAAGUCGGGCGAAUCAGGAUAGCAUUGACACAGUGCACCAUUCAGGGACCAUAACAAUGGAGAAAUAUGAUCCAGGGUUUGCUGGUCCAGGAGAGGCUCCCUGCCUGAACCCAAUUUUAAUAUAUGUCUAAUUUGGUCUAAAAAAGGAUUCAGUACCUCGGGAAACAUGAAAUGACAAGUUGUAAAAGAGAUUGUGUGUAUAAAUAAAGUUGCAUUUCUUUA
Molecule: long non-coding RNA, 307 nt
Organism: Xenopus laevis (African clawed frog)
Lineage: Eukaryota; Metazoa; Chordata; Amphibia; Anura; Pipidae
Exons: 2
Source: RefSeq, a predicted model, not a curated record